This 253-nucleotide ribosomal RNA is filed under the name uncultured bacterium. Its description in RNAcentral is "partial 16S ribosomal RNA". It matches the Rfam family "Bacterial small subunit ribosomal RNA", at positions 524 to 776 of the family's 1533-position model. The record is from RNAcentral.
UACGUAGGGUGCGAGCGUUAAUCGGAAUUACUGGGCGUAAAGCGCGCGUAGGCGGCUUUUCAAGUCGAUUGUGAAAUCCCCGGGCUUAACCUGGGAACUGCAGUCGAGACUGUCUAGCUAGAGUAUGGGAGAGGGAAGUGGAAUUUCAGGUGUAGCGGUGAAAUGCGUAGAUAUCUGAAGGAACAUCAGUGGCGAAAGCGACUUCCUGGACCAAUACUGACGCUCAUGUGCGAAAGCGUGGGGAGCAAACAGG